GGCAGCAAUAUCUAGGCCAACAAGAAGGACCUAUUUCCUGCAUAUAUGCUAGUUUUGUUAUAACUGAAAUCAAUAAUGGUAAUAAUGAUAGAGGGGCUGACACACACACAGUAAAGUGUAUUUCUGUACAUUGCAGGGCCACGCAAGAAGCCAUGCAGCUUCUUCUUGGAGGGUCACUGUAAAAGGGCGGACUGUAAAUUUUCUCAUGAUCUCACCCAGAUAACCUGUAGGUUCUGGGAAGAAGGGUGCUGCUUCAAGGGUCUUACUUGUCCUUUCCUGCAUGGGUACCAAAGGGAAUCAAGUUCUUACGACUCUGGUUUAGAAAAGUUCCAGCUAAAUGAGGAAGACUUCCCAGAAUUGCAUAAGGGGGAUGCUCCAUGGACCUCCAACACUCAGGAACAGAAAGUAGAUGCCUUGUCACACCUGUUGCAGCAUGAAGCGCCUUGCAAGCCUCCAGUGUGACGAUGUAGUGUGUUAGAUGGUAUUAUUUUAUAUUGCUACCGGUAGAUGUCUCUGUAAGUAAAGUG
This is a long non-coding RNA of Lingula anatina, 527 nucleotides long. NCBI's taxonomy places the organism in Eukaryota, Metazoa, Brachiopoda, Lingulata, Lingulida, Lingulidae. The record is from RefSeq and is a predicted model, not a curated record.